Long non-coding RNA from Neodiprion fabricii, 1330 nucleotides. RefSeq lists it as uncharacterized. The transcript has 2 exons. The record is from RefSeq and is a predicted model, not a curated record. Lineage: Eukaryota; Metazoa; Arthropoda; Insecta; Hymenoptera; Diprionidae.
UAUAUGCGCAAGGCGUACAAGAUCUGUUAUAUGCGUCCCCAUACACAUGCAUCAAACUGCAAGUUGUGAAAUACCAAGGUUUCUCCUCCUCCGCUUCUCCGCUCCGCCAUUCCUUUUUCCUCUCCUCCUCCUCAACCUCAUCUUCAACGGAGGAGGAAGGAAGCGGAGAGGCACCGUUACUCGUAAUACCCUGCAAGUCUUCUGAUGCGCAACCGACUUGCUGGCUAGCUGUACGCAAGCCGCCGUCUUGCAAGCAUCUCGCAUUGUCGUAUUUCUCAUCUAUUAUUAUCCGUAAUACGUGAAGAAACGAAAGACGAGAAAAGAAGAGGGGAAGAGAGCACACCUGAUAAGAGCAACGGAUACGCGUUGCAAGACAGGUACUUGCAACUAUCAACUGCUAGCUUCAGAGCGUACGUAGCUCUCGCUUUCACAGCGAUUCUGCGCAAUGCUGCCGUAUUUAUACUCUACAUACUUCCUCUCAAUAAAAUAUUUACAACGUGGCGUGGAGCGAUGAUACUAUAUACAUUUUAAGGAAAGAGAAAAAGACCGUUUAAAAAAUCUCCAGCAGUGUUAUUCGUACCAAUGACAUUGAACAUAAAUGAAACAACACUUCUACUGUGUGAUAGAAAUUAUUCUGAGCAAAUUCGUAUGCUGCAAGCUCCCAAGAUAUAUCAGCAAUUUGAGAAAAGGUUUUACGAUUAGUCGUUAGAAAUUUUUCAACUCUGGUGCUUUUGAUCAGAUUUUAAUGGUUUUGAACUUUUUUGAUCACUAUGUAGAGGCCUCCAGAGAUUUCCUGAACAAAAUUUUGUAUAGUCACUUCCAGAGUGGAUGAAAAUAUAUUUUUGUACGCACCGUGGAGAAAAUAUUCGUUAUAAAUUACACUUGUGCGUUAUAACUAGGUCAUAAUGCAAAAUUUCUUUAUUGUUUGUCGGACAAUUUAGGUAUUUGAUAAGCUAGAAAAAUGAGCUCAAAAACAUAAGAAUCGAAUGAAAAACGCCCAAGUUUGACCAUUUUCAACGUUAUAAUCGUAAACCAUUUUCUCAAAUUGUCAAUUAUAUUUGUUCAUAUCAAUUGAAUUCGCUUUAAAUCAUUUCUAUCGCAUAUGAGGGAUGUUGUUUUAUUCGUUUUCACAAUCACUGGCAUAAACAAAAAUGCUGGAAAUAUUUAUAACAGUUUUUCCUUUUCUCCAACAUUUAAUUUAGAUGUAAUAUAUUCAUCAGAAAAAUUCUCGUUAAUGCUGAUACGAGCGAGGGAAAUUUCCUUGUUCAUAAAUAUAAAGACAGCGUAUUGUGGCAGGAAUGAGGAAAAAAAUAAACACCUGUAAAAGCGA